AAAAUGGGAAGACAUUGAUGGUUUUUCAGCAAGAAAGUGCUGAUAAAAGAUCUGUUUAUUGAAGACUUCUCUUGGCAUCCCAAAGGAAGGUGUUAGAAGGAAUUCAAGGCCAUGUUACUUCACCUCACCUUAACAGAGAUGCUUCGUGGCUAUUACAAACUCCUCUGCUACAUCUCAGUCUUUGGAACUAAUGAUAGAGUGAGAGUGAAAGAGAAAGGUGUGGGAGAUACACUUGCAAGCCAUCCAGAGGAGAAGCUUCACUGCAGCUUCUGAGAAGAUGCCUUACUGAAUCUCCAUUUGACCCUCUUAUUUGGAGUAAUUGAAAGGUUAAAAAGUACACUUUCUGGACUCCUUUGCAGCUAAGUGCAUCACUUAGAUGCACUUGAAUGAGAUUCAGAAGCCAGAAGUUUGGCAUGGGCCAUUUUCUUGCAGAUGUAGUAGCUGACAGGUAAAUUCUGACAGUUGUAAGGGAUCAACAUGACAGUCAUGUAAUAGUCAUCAGUGACAUUGGUGUGAGGAGGCUGUGAUGGCCACAGUUACAAGACUGGCAGUAGCGGUUGUGUGUCAUUUGGGUUUCAUGUGUAGUGGUAUGACCUUAAAACUGAAAGUGCAAGAGCAGAUCACUGACAUCGAUUCCUCCAGCCUUUUGUAAGCAUGUACUUCCCUGAAUAAAAUCACUCUCUGCUU
This is a long non-coding RNA of Hyaena hyaena (striped hyena), 687 nucleotides long. RefSeq lists it as uncharacterized. The transcript has 3 exons. The record is from RefSeq and is a predicted model, not a curated record. NCBI's taxonomy places the organism in Eukaryota, Metazoa, Chordata, Mammalia, Carnivora, Hyaenidae.